CAGAAAUUCAGGAGUGGGCCCAGGAGUCCAUGCUUUCCCAGGCCCUCCAGGGGAACCCUGAUCCACGCUCGACUUUGAGAACCACCGGAAUGGAGCAAAGCGCGGUUGGUUAUUAAUUUUGGAAUGUUUUAGACCCGUUAACCUAAUCCGGGCUCAGAGCCCUAGACGGGGCUGAGAAGGUACAGGAAGAUUGAGCCUCAAUUCUGAUCACUCUGUCCUAUCGCAUGUCCCCGCGUUCAUCAAGAGGAGGGAAAGGCGGGCGAGGACGAGGCUCUGAAGGGGCGGGGACAGGAGAGGAAAAGGGCACGAAGCGUAUGCAGCCAUGUUUUGAAACCCCGACACGGGACGCACAGAAGGGGACCCAAUGUUCCAGAUUGAAGCUGCGCCGUCACCUACCUGGUCCUGAGGUGAGGACGAAGUGGAGCCAAGCUGCUUGCCUCCCUGAGGGACGUGGAGUGAGAGCCAGAAGUAAUCCUUUGCUUAAGUGACUGAGAUUUUCAGAGCUGUUCAUUACGGCAGCAAAACCUAGAACAUCCUGACUGAUGCGAGCUACGUAAUACCCAUUUCCCCACAAUAUAAAUGAGGAAACUCAUGCUCAGAGAGGUUCGG
RNAcentral lists this long non-coding RNA (609 nucleotides) under Equus caballus (horse). RNAcentral's name for it is "lncRNA (ENSECAG00000049892.1)". The record is from RNAcentral. Lineage: Eukaryota; Metazoa; Chordata; Mammalia; Perissodactyla; Equidae.